This 253-nucleotide ribosomal RNA is filed under the name uncultured bacterium. RNAcentral's name for it is "partial 16S ribosomal RNA". It matches the Rfam family "Bacterial small subunit ribosomal RNA", at positions 524 to 776 of the family's 1533-position model. The record is from RNAcentral.
UACGUAGGGGGCGAGCGUUGUCCGGAUUUAUUGGGCGUAAAGAGCGUGUAGGCGGCCAGGUAGGUCGGUUGUGAAAACUGGAGGCUUAACCUUCAGACGUCGACCGAAACCAUCUGGCUAGAGUCCGGAAGAGGAGAGUGGAAUUCCUGGUGUAGCGGUGAAAUGCGCAGAUAUCAGGAAGAACACCCGUGGCGAAGGCGGCUCUCUGGGACGGUACUGACGCUGAGACGCGAAAGCGUGGGGAGCGAACAGG